GUUUAAAUAGCUUAUAAAAACAGAGCAUGACAUUGAAGAUGUUAGGGAAGAGGUUUCUCUCUUAUAAACA
Molecule: transfer RNA, 70 nt
Filed under: Cocculina enigmadonta
Lineage: Eukaryota; Metazoa; Mollusca; Gastropoda; Cocculinidae
Description: tRNA-Phe
Source: RNAcentral